RNAcentral lists this transfer RNA (74 nucleotides) under Felis catus (domestic cat). It matches the Rfam family "tRNA". From Rfam's summary of the family: Transfer RNA (tRNA) molecules are approximately 80 nucleotides in length. Lineage: Eukaryota; Metazoa; Chordata; Mammalia; Carnivora; Felidae. The record is from Rfam by way of RNAcentral.
GCCUGGCUGGCUCAGUCUGAAGAGCAUGUGACUCUUGAUCACAUGGGUCAUGGGUUUGAACCCCACCUUGGGUA